UAUUACCCACUUUAUCUUUUCGGAUCUAAUCAUCUUCUCCAGGGGGCUGAGCAUAGCGUCUGGUAAGACCUGAACCAACUUGCCGAUGUCUGUGUGGUCAUCAGCAGGGUCCAAUCCAUCUGGAAUGGAGAGCAUGCGAAUUCCACCAGGGAUUGCUCCUUUCUCUGCCAAGGCCUUGAGGACACGGUCGUGGUUGAACUCAGUGUUUACGAAGUCAAUCUUGAAGCCUUGAUCAGCAAGCCUAUGAGAUAACUCCAUGAGUGGGAUGACAUGGCCUUGUGCAGGGAACGGUAGCACCAUGACAUGAGGUUGAGUAGCAGCGGCCAUGGAAGUUGUCUUCUUAGAAUUGUCUAUGUCUACAAGAAGCUUGUGAGGUGUAAAACUGGAACUUCCUGAGGAUAUAUAUAGCCUGAUAUGUUCAACAGCUGUGUACGCCAAGGGUCACCUGGCCAUUCCUAUUUCAUCAGCAAACAUGAAUGGUGCAUCCUGCGAUGGAGCCAUACUGCCAUGAAGAUUAUUCACAUGACGUGGCAUCGACCUCGUUGAACAAUCUCGGCAAUUUUGAUUCGCCAUGAUACUCCAGACUGCCAGCUGAAAGGUGACAUUUUAGGUAAUUUACUAGGUAUAAAGUGGUCACAUUUGAGAGCGAGUGCAAAAAUCCCACCAGUUUUCUUUGGUGCUGCAUUUGUUCAGGUAAGUUAUUCACCUAUGCAUUACCCAAUUUGUUACUGCAAGAGGAGCAGUUUUAUCAUGGAAUAUGCUGCUGAGUCUAAAAUAUGCAUGUUGAUCU
Molecule: small RNA, 790 nt
Filed under: Oryza sativa Japonica Group (Japanese rice)
Lineage: Eukaryota; Viridiplantae; Streptophyta; Magnoliopsida; Poales; Poaceae
Description: sRNA Os03g0757550
Source: RNAcentral